UACGGGGGGAGCAAGCGUUGUUCGGAUUUACUGGGCGUAAAGGGCGCGUAGGCGGCGCAACAAGUCACUUGUGAAAUCUCCGGGCUUAACCCGGAGCGGCCAAGUGAUACUGUCGUGCUAGAGUGCGGAAGGGGCUACUGGAAUUCUCGGUGUAGCGGUGAAAUGCGUAGAUAUCCUGAGGAACACCGGUGGCGAAAGCGGCGCGCUGGAUCCCUUCUGACGCUGAGGCGCGAAAGCCAGGGGAGCAAACGGG
RNAcentral lists this ribosomal RNA (253 nucleotides) under uncultured bacterium. Its description in RNAcentral is "partial 16S ribosomal RNA". It matches the Rfam family "Bacterial small subunit ribosomal RNA", at positions 524 to 776 of the family's 1533-position model. The record is from RNAcentral.